GGUUUCAAUUUUAAAAUGUACAAUCUUUAACAGGAUUUAAAGCCAUAGUUAAUAUCCUUGUACAAAAAACUGCAUGUCAAGAUCCAAGAUCAACUCAAAUCAGGUAAGUACAAAAACCCAAAAGCCAAUUUAAAAGGCAGUAACUGGAUAACAGAAGUUUCAGAUCAAAGAAAACAGCAGAAAAAAACAAAACUAGAUACGCAUCCCAAGUUGCAACUCCAAUAUAUGUUAAAAUAAAGAAAGAUACAACAUUAACCAGAUAGUAAUCUGGACCACAGUAAUAAAAAAAAAAAAAAAACUUUCCACAAAGCAAAA
Molecule: long non-coding RNA, 315 nt
Organism: Populus trichocarpa (black cottonwood)
Lineage: Eukaryota; Viridiplantae; Streptophyta; Magnoliopsida; Malpighiales; Salicaceae
Exons: 2
Source: RefSeq, a predicted model, not a curated record